This 302-nucleotide ribosomal RNA is filed under the name uncultured bacterium. Its description in RNAcentral is "partial 16S ribosomal RNA". It matches the Rfam family "Bacterial small subunit ribosomal RNA", at positions 508 to 807 of the family's 1533-position model. The record is from RNAcentral.
GCAGCAGCCGCGGGAAUACGUAGGGUGCAAGCGUUAUCCGGAAUUAUUGGGCGCAAAGAGCUCAUAGGCGGUUUGUCGCGUCUGCUGUGAAAACUGGAGGCUCAACCUCCAGCCUGCAGUGGGUACGGGCAGACUAGAGUGCGGUAGGGGAGAUUGGAAUUCCUGGUGUAGCGGUGGAAUGCGCAGAUAUCAGGAGGAACACCGAUGGCGGAGGCAGAUCUCUGGGCCGUAACUGACGCUGAGGAGCGAAAGCGUGGGGAGCGAACAGGAUUAGAUACCCGUGUAGUCCCUGUCUCUUAUAC